RNAcentral lists this ribosomal RNA (623 nucleotides) under Octaviania tasmanica. Its description in RNAcentral is "eukaryotic LSU rRNA". It matches the Rfam family "Eukaryotic large subunit ribosomal RNA", at positions 1 to 564 of the family's 3401-position model. The record is from RNAcentral. Lineage: Eukaryota; Fungi; Basidiomycota; Agaricomycetes; Boletales; Boletaceae.
UUAGGAAGCCUUGCUUUGAAGUCUUGACAUGCGAGUGUCAUUUUAAUUAUAUCUUGACCUCAAAUCAGGUAGGGACUACCCGCUGAACUUAAGCAUAUCAAUAAGCGGAGGAAAAGAAACUAACAAGGAUUCCCAUAGUAACUGCGAGUGAAGCGGGAAAAGCUCAAAUUUUGAAUCUGGCGGUCUUUUAUUAGCCGUCCGAAUUGUAAUCUAGAGAAGCGUCUUCCGCGCUGGACCGUGUACAAGUCUCCUGGAAGGGAGCAUCAUAGAGGGUGAGAAUCCCGUCUUUGACAUGGACUACCAGGGCUUAUGUGAUGCGCUCUCGACGAGUCGAGUUGUUUGGGAAUGCAGCUCAAAAUGGGUGGUAAAUUCCAUCUAAAGCUAAAUAUUGGCAAGAGACCGAUAGUGAACAAGUACCGUGAGGGAAAGAUCAAAAGAACUUUGAAAAGAGAGUUAAACAGUACGUGAAAUUGCUGAAAGGGAAACGCUUGAUGUCCAGUCGCGUUGAUUAGGGGUCAACCAUCUCUAAGUUGGUGUAAUUCCUAGUUGACGGGUCAGCAUCAGUUUCGGUCGCCGUACAAAGGCGAAGGGAAAGUAGCACGUAAGUGUACUAUAGACCCUCG